Molecule: non-coding RNA, 366 nt
Organism: Cinara cedri
Lineage: Eukaryota; Metazoa; Arthropoda; Insecta; Hemiptera; Aphididae
Source: the annotation of a GenBank genome assembly
UAUAUAUCAACACUAAUAAAAAUAAGUUGAGAAUAAGUAAUAGCUAACAAAAUUUUCGAAUUAUACAUAGUAAAUAACCAAAACAAAUCUCAACAUUAGACAAAUUAUUGAGUGCGAGAUAAGCACGAUCAAGAGGGGCUUCGUAACCGUAAUUAGCAGCAUGCCAUUUAGUUAUAAAAGUUUGUGGAUAUCUUGAAUAAAAUGAUGGAACUGCUAAAGAUAAUUUAGAAAGUAAAUCUGUUACAUCAAUAUCAUUAUUUAAUACUUUAUGAAUAAAGGUAACAUCACACUCAACUCGUUUUUCAGUUAGAGAUUUAAAAUUGUAAGGGUUAACUUUUCACAACGAAACGAGCUCAUCUUUAAGAA